RNAcentral lists this transfer RNA (64 nucleotides) under Rhinebothrium taeniuri. Its description in RNAcentral is "tRNA-Thr". The record is from RNAcentral. Lineage: Eukaryota; Metazoa; Platyhelminthes; Cestoda; Rhinebothriidea; Rhinebothriidae.
GGCUUUUUAGUUUAAAAAAAAUGCUGGUUUUGUAAACCUGUGAUAGUCUUUGUACUAUUGGCCU